RNAcentral lists this long non-coding RNA (1170 nucleotides) under Homo sapiens (human). RNAcentral describes it as "HSALNT0365488". Lineage: Eukaryota; Metazoa; Chordata; Mammalia; Primates; Hominidae. The record is from RNAcentral.
ACACAUCAUAUUAAGCAUAUUAAAAUACACCCAAUCCCUUUUUUUUAACUAUAAAAAUACUGCAGUAUUUUUUAUAAUUUUACUUUUGAAAUUUGGCCCAACAAUGAUUUCUCGGCAAUCACUGUGCAUAAUCAGGAAUUCUUGCAAUGAGAAAAAAACUCGCCUGUAAAUUGUUGUCAAAUGUGUAAAAAUCUUGUAACAAUCAAUGUAACGAUUAAUGAACAUGACAUCACAUGUCUUUGUAGACCUACUUCUUAGCAAGUGAGGUGCCUAUUCAUUUCAGUUUAGGUCUUUCACAUUUUUAGAUCUUGAACUCAAUCCCUAGAGAUAAACAGCCCUGGUUGCCAGGGUUUGAAUAGGUCAGAAGAGCACAAUGAUGACUUCACAGGGAUGCUUGAGGUUACCAUGGAAAUGCUGUCGGCUCCCCCUCCCCAAGUCAUCUUCACACAUCUUCAUGUGGGCGGCAGGCAUUUGCUUCCACUGUGGAGUUGACUCCAUCUCCCAAUAGGCCUCUUCUGGAAAUUCCCUCCCCAUGUUAGAUCUGGCAGAGCCACUGGGAGACAGAGCAGCAGAGGGGAGCUGAGUGACACUAGGUUGCUAUGACAGCCAGGAAUUUGCGAACCAAACCAGACCUGGAGAAGAAGUCUCUCCUUGGCCCAAAGAGUUUGCAGUUCCAAGUGGUUCUGCUCAUGGUUCCUGUUGUCUUCUUUGACACCUGCCAGAUGGAAGAACCUCUAAACCUGGGAUUUGGAAAUGUCCCAACAGAAAGGCUAUUUCCAAGCUGGCUGAAGCUUGGAAAUAAAUUCGACGGAAUUUAGGUGUGAUAGAAGGAACUUCUUGGCAAGAAAAGCUGGAAAAUAUUACAAUAGGUCCCAGAGAGAACCUCAUUAUCUUCUCGAAAAAAUUUCUAUAUUUGUUUAGUGUUCUGUGGUUUGCUAAGCACAUUCACAUAAAUUAUCUAAUUGGAUCUUCACAUCCGCCUGGUGAAGGAGUAAAAAUAGGUUUCAUAAUAUUUGACCAAAGACAAGGAAAAUGAAGUUCAAUAAGAACAAGAUCAAACAGCCAACAGGCAACAGAACUGAGAUUUGAAACUGGGUUUUCUGACUGUAAAUCUAGCUCUUUUAAUUCUAUUAUGAUAAUCCCCCAAAAUAUAAAAGAGAUCACAUCUGA